Non-coding RNA from Phalacrocorax carbo (great cormorant), 1058 nucleotides. The record is from RefSeq and is a predicted model, not a curated record. NCBI's taxonomy places the organism in Eukaryota, Metazoa, Chordata, Aves, Suliformes, Phalacrocoracidae.
GUGUCCCGGCGGGACGGGGCGGGGGGUCCCGGGGGAAGCCGCGGGAGCCGGUGUGCGGGGGGUGCGGGGCGGCCCCGGGCACUGCGGGGAGGCCUCGCCGGGCGCCCCAAGGCGGGCAGCGCUGCGGGCUCCCCGCGCCCCCUCUUGCGCCCGCUCCCCACGGCGCCCCCCGGCUGUGCCCGCGGGCACCCGCACCUGCCGCGGGUGGGUGUCCCGUGUCCCCGCACCGAGAAGGGCUUUUGCAAGGCUUCCCUGGGCACUUGGGAAGGUCCCGAUGGGAGCUGCAUGCCUACUCGCUCCAGCUUUCCUGACCCGGGCUGGUGUCCGAGGCCCCGUGCGCUUCAGUUGCUAGUGUUACUGGCCUGCCAGGUUUUCUAAAAUCAGGAUAGGCUCACGCUCAGCUGAACAGAACAGGGAUGAGGAAGGGGCAAUGAUUACAGCGCAGUGUUUCCUCUAAUUUCACCACGGAUGUAAGAGGAGGGAUGAAGCAGAGAUCUGCCCGGCCUUUGUCACCGUGCGUGUGCCGCCAGAGGCAGAAACGUGGAAAAUUUCCAGCGGGAAGGGGAGCGGCAAGAAAGAAUAAAAAGCCAAUUGCAGUAGAAAGAUCUAGAAACCUUUCAUCUUUUCUAAGCAAAAUUAAUGCCAAGUGCAUGCCUUUUCUGCACCCCUCCUGCUGACCCAUUUGUGUUGCACGACUUGGUUCACCAAAGUGAUUCAGGUUGGGCAGCUUCACUUUCUUAGGUGACGUUUGGCAGUUCCUGAGAGAAAGAUGAUGUGAAAUAUGUGGGCACAUGAUGAAAACUACUUCCAACAGCAGAAGACUAUACCCAGAAGUGACUCAGAGAACCUCUGUUAAAACCCUACGUGUUUUUCCUGCGUUGCAAUGUGCUGAAUGCCAUUUAUCAUCACUGAACUUAUUACCUAUCAGUGUAUCCCUCCCUCUAGUGAAAACUGCAUUUAUAAACUCAGAAGUGUCUGAUUUGUGUUAACACCGCAUAAACUACUGCUCUCCUUACUUUCUCACACUUUUUAUUGUAAUAUAUUAGCUUAGAUGCAAA